GAUCAGGUGGUCGACUGGUUAAGGGGAUGGUCUGCUAAUCCAUUGAGUUUUCCCGUGUGAGUUCGAAUCUCAUCCUGAUCG
RNAcentral lists this transfer RNA (81 nucleotides) under Nippostrongylus brasiliensis. It matches the Rfam family "tRNA". Rfam says of the family: Transfer RNA (tRNA) molecules are approximately 80 nucleotides in length. Their secondary structure includes four short double-helical elements and three loops (D, anti-codon, and T loops). Lineage: Eukaryota; Metazoa; Nematoda; Chromadorea; Rhabditida; Heligmosomidae. The record is from Rfam by way of RNAcentral.